UCCGUCAUGGUGUAGUGGCUAGCAUUUCAGACUCUCACUCUUCAUACGAAGAUGUGCGCUCUGAGAACCCGGGUUCAAUUCCCGGUGACGGAA
Peziza echinospora is the source of this 93-nucleotide non-coding RNA. The record is from the annotation of a GenBank genome assembly. Lineage: Eukaryota; Fungi; Ascomycota; Pezizomycetes; Pezizales; Pezizaceae.